GCAUAGGAUUGUCACAUAGUGGGAGCUCUCUUUGCCUCACCUCUCCAUUAACUGCGAUAAACUUUGUGUCCAAUGAGAUCACUCUGAAAUGCACUGCAGAAGAUGACUGUUACAAUCAGAUCUGUUAAGGCAGGUAUGCUGUGUGAAGCCCUCUGCACCUUCCUCUCCACUUACCUGUUUGGCCAGAUUAAAUGUUUGACCCUUGACCUCUACACGGAUCUUCUGGACGGACAUGGUCAUCACCACAGGAGCCUGGAGGGGAACAUGAAAACAUGCCCUUAUCUUGUGUCCCAACUUUUUCAUCAGGACAAAAGUCUAGAGGAGAAAGUAAAAACACCUGCUAUUUUGCUCAAACUCUUUCAUCAGCUCAAGAGCCAAGGAGAAAAUAGAAACAUCUCCCGAUCUUCUGAAAAUCACCACAGGAGUCUACAGGGGAUUUACAGAUCUUUUGAUUGAUGCAUUGUACACAGCUAACCCUGCUCACUAUCACUGCUUAGAGACAUUGGCACAACUUUCACUGCCUAGAGACACUGGCACAGCUUCACUUACGGCCUUGGUGCUGGGUUAGCGUAACCCACGGCAGCCAGCAGCCCCAGGGCAGUGCAGAUCCUCCAGAGGAACAUUCUUCUGUGUCUCCAGGGGUUUGGACACAAGACUCACUGCUGUAACGGUCACCACUGUGUAUUACUGGUAGGAAGUCUGACCUUUACCAAAAGGAUGACCCAGAUUUGGUGCCAUCUGUUGGACUGACAGGUCAGCAAGGAGGAACCUCGGUCACCCAAAGAAACAGGGAACUCACGCUACAAGCGUCACAUGAAUCAAACCCAGCAGAGACUGGAGGCUGAAGCUACUGCUGCUGCUGCUGAGACUGAUGACCCCAACACAAGUGAUUAUGUCAGCGAUAAUUUGUGCUGUACAGGGACUCAAACUGAAUUGACUGGUGAUGUAAUUGAGGCUAUGAACACUGAACUCCAAAGUCUUAGAACUGAAAACAUUCAGUGAUGUUGCACAUUUGUUCACUUCCUAUGACCAAAGGGCCUUUGUUGAUAAGGAUGGAAAGUUAUUAUUUUUCACUGGCCUACAUACAUACCAGAUACUGUUAGUACUCUUCACAUUCCUUAGUUCCCACCUCCCUGUGAAGAAGUCACUUGAUAAGUUUAAGCAGUUGAUGCUUACAUUGAU
Molecule: long non-coding RNA, 1182 nt
Organism: Alosa alosa (allis shad)
Lineage: Eukaryota; Metazoa; Chordata; Actinopteri; Clupeiformes; Clupeidae
Exons: 4
Source: RefSeq, a predicted model, not a curated record